GCCCCGCCCCCCAUGGAUAGGUGCUUCCAGAAGGGACUGUAACCUGCCAAACCUCCAUCUUGACCCAGACAGGCAGGAUUGCCCUUCGCUCCAGACGAAGUUGCUUGCCAUAUUCGGCGCAAACACUUUCUUCACCAUUACUUCUUGCAUGUCCACAGUCUGAUAUACAUCUUUGUCUGUGGGAGGAAGCGAACAAGGUAAAGCUUACUCUUGGAAAUAGGGGUGGGGCUCUAAAUUUGUAGAUACAGGUGGCAAUGAUAUUAUGCAGAAAUUGAUACCCGACUGUAGGGGUUGAGUUGCUACGCACACGACUGUCCUAAAAUGGCUGGCUGACUUGUGGGGCUGUACAUACCCUUGGCUGGUGCUUUGAACCUCGUGUAACAGCGGAAGACAACCGCAAAAGCCAAGGCCUCUGUGGUCUGGAAGAUGAUGAAGACGAAUGGGAACAGGAACAGGGGUCCGAUGACCUCCAGGGGGAACGCCACUUUCAGAACGGUGAAGCAAAUUUGGGCAUUCUGACAGCCUGUUUCUACACCGACCGUCCUCCUGCAUCUGAGAUGGGAGAAAGCAAAAAAAAAAAAAAAAA
Anguilla anguilla (European eel) is the source of this 586-nucleotide long non-coding RNA. RefSeq lists it as uncharacterized. The record is from RefSeq and is a predicted model, not a curated record. Lineage: Eukaryota; Metazoa; Chordata; Actinopteri; Anguilliformes; Anguillidae. The transcript has 2 exons.